This is a long non-coding RNA of Lolium rigidum, 1790 nucleotides long. RefSeq lists it as uncharacterized. The record is from RefSeq and is a predicted model, not a curated record. Lineage: Eukaryota; Viridiplantae; Streptophyta; Magnoliopsida; Poales; Poaceae. The transcript is spliced from 9 exons.
CCUGAGUUGGUGCUAACGUCCACCACUCCGAGAUGCUUCUAAUGCCUGAUGAGUUGAUACUGGAGCUUGGACCAUACAUUGAGGAGCUGAAGAAAACAGAAGGUGCUAUUUCUGAAUUUGGAAAUCCGAAGUUUAGAGAAUAUUGGUUGCUCGACUUGGCCAAAACGACGACGGCGGCGAGGUCUGAGUGGUGGUGCCCUUUGUCUUGGCUCCCUCUUCCAGCUUCCCAGCUGCCUGCUACCGGUUACUGAGAGAUAGAUGGCGGUGGUCGCCCAUGCUCUAAAGCUGCUGCCGUAGAAGCAGUUCAUCGAUCGAGGUGACCGAAAAGAUCUGCGAUGCAUCCCAGGAAGCGAAGGUCAUGUUCAUCGAGGAAAUUUCAGCAGGGAAAUUGGAAAUGAUGUUGAUCAUCUUACCAAGGAGAUCCUGCUGAGUCCAACCUCAGUAAUCAUAUGAUUUUAGAGGAUCCUUGUGUUUCUACGCAGCGUUUGUGUUCACUAAAAUGAAGAAACCUGUUGCUGCCAUCAACGAUGCCAAUGCUUCUGUAAAGACCACGAUGCAAGCCACAGUUGGCUGUCAUCCAGCACACACUGAAAGGAGCACCAUGAAACAUACAGACGAAGGAGUACGUUGCUGCUGCUUGACGCCAGCGAGGAGCCCCGUGCCGUUUGUGAGGUCGUGGAAGGCCCACACAACACCUCGGUUCUGUCUUGGCCGUCUCCUCAGACGUGGUAGCCGGAAACAAUGUUGCACCCACUGUGCUGCCAUAGCCGGUGAGACACCUCUCGCUUUCUCUCUCUCCCGGAAUUGUGCAGGGCGCUGCCCUGAGUAUUAAUCUUUUCCGAUACACUACUUUAUGGUUGAGUCCACGAACUGUCAUUUGUAGGUUGAUGAGGCACUGUAGGUAGACAAUUAGCAUGGUGCACUUAACAUUAUACGGUGGGUUAUACAUAUUCUAUAAAAGUUAUCCAUGUAAAGUCAACUUUGUGUAUUAUUAGAAGUCACUUAUUUGGAUAAAUAACUACACCAGAUCAGAUCCUCCUUUUAGGAUCAUUUGACCUAAGUGAUGCAGUUUGCUUGUGCAAUAAUGCAUAUCACUCAACCCAUGGCGCUUAUGAUCUGGAGGAAUGAUGCAGGUUCCGCUUGGUUCUGGUGCAGGUGGAGGUGUUUCAUCUUGGCCUCGAGGAUGUCGUGGCCCUACCUUGGUUAAAACCUUGGUUCAACAGUGAAGGAGAAAUGGAUCCGCAGGGAGGUGGCUUGGAGAAAGGGAGCUAGACUAGCUGUGUGCUGUUUUAGGUUCUGGUCCGGCUGCACUAGGGAGAUUCUAGCCGAUUUUCCACUGUGAUGAAGCAAAUUAUUUUUUGGCUAGCUGUGUGUUUUUUCAUGUCUAGUCACUUAGCUAGCUGUCGUUUUUUGAUAUGAUGAUGGAAAAAAAACAGUGUUUGUAGCUCAACUCGAAGGAACACCCCAACCUUUAUCUCAUUAGUUGAUACAUUCUGGUUUGUUGUGGUGAAUGCAGAUAGUGGACGGAUGGACAGAUGAGACGCCAACGGAUCCUUGUUCUUGGACCUGCGGUGCUAGGUAGCCGGCUGGGACGUACGCAUCCCUGGAGGAUCGGCCGGCGAACAACGGCGGGUGGUGAGAGAGAAGGAAGGGGACAGAUGUACGCUGUUCUGCACUGAUGCAGCGGGGGCAGCAGCAACAGCGAGGGUAAAAUGUAGCCGCAGGGUGGUGGCCUGUAGAAAAGGAGCUAGACUAGCUGUGUGUUGGUUCAGGUUUUGGUCCGGCUGGAU